UACGAAGGGGGCUAGCGUUGUUCGGAAUUACUGGGCGUAAAGCGUAUGCAGGCGGACUUUUAAGUCGGGGGUGAAAUCCCGAGGCUCAACCUCGGAACUGCCUUCGAUACUGGAAGUCUUGAGUCCGGGAGAGGUGAGUGGAACUCCGAGUGUAGAGGUGAAAUUCGUAGAUAUUAGGAAGAACACCGGUGGCGAAGGCGGCCAUCUGGCUCGGUACUGACGCUCAGGCGCGAAAGCGUGGGGAGCAAACAGG
RNAcentral lists this ribosomal RNA (253 nucleotides) under uncultured bacterium. RNAcentral's name for it is "partial 16S ribosomal RNA". It matches the Rfam family "Bacterial small subunit ribosomal RNA", at positions 524 to 776 of the family's 1533-position model. The record is from RNAcentral.